Carassius gibelio (silver crucian carp) is the source of this 233-nucleotide long non-coding RNA. RefSeq lists it as uncharacterized. The transcript has 2 exons. Lineage: Eukaryota; Metazoa; Chordata; Actinopteri; Cypriniformes; Cyprinidae. The record is from RefSeq and is a predicted model, not a curated record.
CUGCUCAGUGCUCACAUACUUGUCUUCAGAUGGGAAAGACGACAGGCCUUUACAGAUAUGAGUGCAAAAGAACCUGUUGGAAAAGGAGCCCAUGCAAAUAAGCAGCCCACUCAGGAACCUGGAACACAUCUAAGCCCAAACGAGGCACACACUCCCAUGAGUCUCCUCAAAUCUUUUCUUUUUUUUUUUUGAUGUCCUUCAGAGCACAUAAACAAAAUAUGAACACUUUGGAA